UUAAGUUAUUAAGGGCGCACGGUGGAUGCCUUGGCACUAGAAGCCGAUGAAGGACGUUACUAACGACGAUAUGCUUUGGGGAGCUGUAAGUAAGCUUUGAUCCAGAGAUUUCCGAAUGGGGAAACCCAGCAUGAGUUAUGUCAUGUUAUCGAUAUGUGAAUACAUAGCAUAUCAGAAGGCACACCCGGAGAACUGAAACAUCUUAGUACCCGGAGGAAGAGAAAGAAAAUUCGAUUCCCUUAGUAGCGGCGAGCGAAACGGGAAGAGCCCAAACCAACAAGCUUGCUUGUUGGGGUUGUAGGACACUCUAUACGGAGUUAUAAAGGACGACAUUAGACGAAUCAUCUGGAAAGAUGAAUCAAAGAAGGUAAUAAUCCUGUAGUCGAAAAUGUUGUCUCUCUUGAGUGGAUCCUGAGUACGACGGAGCACGUGAAAUUCCGUCGGAAUCUGGGAGGACCAUCUCCUAAGGCUAAAUACUCUCUAGUGACCGAUAGUGAACCAGUACCGUGAGGGAAAGGUGAAAAGCACCCCGGAAGGGGAGUGAAAUAGAACCUGAAACCGUGUGCUUACAAGUAGUCAGAGCCCGUUAAUGGGUGAUGGCGUGCCUUUUGUAGAAUGAACCGGCGAGUUACGAUUUGAUGCAAGGUUAAGCAGUAAAUGUGGAGCCGUAGCGAAAGCGAGUCUGAAUAGGGCGUUUAGUAUUUGGUCGUAGACCCGAAACCAGGUGAUCUACCCUUGGUCAGGUUGAAGUUCAGGUAACACUGAAUGGAGGACCGAACCGACUUACGUUGAAAAGUGAGCGGAUGAACUGAGGGUAGCGGAGAAAUUCCAAUCGAACCUGGAGAUAGCUGGUUCUCUCCGAAAUAGCUUUAGGGCUAGCCUCAAGUGAUGAUUAUUGGAGGUAGAGCACUGUUUGGACGAGGGGCCCCUCUCGGGUUACCGAAUUCAGACAAACUCCGAAUGCCAAUUAAUUUAACUUGGGGAGUCAGAACAUGGGUGAUAAGGUCCGUGUUCGAAAGGGAAACAGCCCAGACCACCAGCUAAGGUCCCAAAAUAUAUGUUAAGUGGAAAAGGAUGUGGCGUUGCCCAGACAACUAGGAUGUUGGCUUAGAAGCAGCCAUCAUUUAAAGAGUGCGUAAUAGCUCACUAGUCGAGUGACACUGCGCCGAAAAUGUACCGGGGCUAAACAUAUUA
RNAcentral lists this ribosomal RNA (1194 nucleotides) under Staphylococcus aureus subsp. aureus CIG547. RNAcentral describes it as "bacterial LSU rRNA". It matches the Rfam family "Bacterial large subunit ribosomal RNA", at positions 3 to 1193 of the family's 2925-position model. The record is from RNAcentral. Lineage: Bacteria; Bacillati; Bacillota; Bacilli; Caryophanales; Staphylococcaceae.